CCGGCGCACGGGUGAGUAACACGUAUCCAACCUGCCGUCUACUCUUGGACAGCCUUCUGAAAGGAAGAUUAAUACAAGAUGGCAUCAUGAGUCCGCAUGUUCACAUGAUUAAAGGUAUUCCGGUAGACGAUGGGGAUGCGUUCCAUUAGAUAGUAGGCGGGGUAACGGCCCACCUAGUCUUCGAUGGAUAGGGGUUCUGAGAGGAAGGUCCCCCCCAUUGGAACUGAGACACGGUCCAA
This 239-nucleotide ribosomal RNA is filed under the name uncultured bacterium. RNAcentral describes it as "partial 16S ribosomal RNA". It matches the Rfam family "Bacterial small subunit ribosomal RNA", at positions 95 to 334 of the family's 1533-position model. The record is from RNAcentral.